AAAAAAAAAGGCGAACGUUUGGGCUUCGGCCUGAUUUAGUAGUCUUUUUUCUUUUAAACCCAUUCCUUAAUACUGAAUAUACUGUGGGGACGAAAGUCUCUGCUUUUAACUAGAUAGCAACUUUCAGCAGUGGAUGUCUAGGCUCGCACAUCGAUGAAGAACGCUGCGAACUGCGAUACGUAAUGCGAAUUGCAGGAUUCAGUGAGUCAUCGAAAUUUUGAACGCAUAUUGCACUUCCGGGUUAGUCCUGGAAGUAUGCCUGUAUCAGUGUCCGUACAUUAAACUUGACUUUCUUCCUUCCGUGUAGUCGGUGGAGGAGAUGUCAGAUGUGAAGUGUCUUGCGAUUGGUCUUCGGACCGGCUGCGAGUCCUUUUAAAUGUACUAAACUGAACUUCUCUUUGCUCGAAAAGUGGUGGCGUUGCUGGUUGUGAAGGCUGCUAUUGUGGCAAAUUGGCGACUGGUUUGUCUGCUGCGGCAUUAAUGGAAGAGUGUUCGAUUCGUGGUAUGGUUGGCUUCGGCUGAACAAUGCACUUAUUGGACGUUUUUCCUGCUGUGGCGUGAUGGACUGGUGAACCAUAGCUCGGUGGCUUGGCUUUUGAAUUGGCUUUGCUGUUGCGAAGUAGGGUGGCAGCUUCGGUUGUCGAYGGUCGAUCCAUUUGGGAACUUAAUGUGUACUUCGGUAUGCAUCUCAAUYGGACCUGAUAU
This is an unclassified non-coding RNA of 705 nucleotides. The stretch from base 119 to 273 matches the Rfam family "5.8S ribosomal RNA".